CCUACGGGUGGCAGCAGUGAGGAAUAUUGGUCAAUGGGCGAGAGCCUGAACCAGCCAAGUCGCGUGAAGGAUGACGGCCCUACGGGUUGUAAACUUCUUUUGUCAGGGAGCAAUUGAGUCCACGUGUGGGCUUAGCGAGUGUACCUGAAGAAAAAGCAUCGGCUAACUCCGUGCCAGCAGCCGCGGUAAUACGGGGGAUGCGGGCGUAUUCGGGUUUUAUUGGGUUAAAGGGGUGCGCGGGCGGACUGUGAAGUCAGCGGUCAAAGCCCGGGGCUCAACCCCGCCCCGCCGUUGAAACUGGCAGUCUCGAGUUGGAGAGAAGUAUGCGGAAUGCGCGGUGUAGCGGUGAAAUGCAUAGAUAUCGCGCAGAACUCCGAUUGCGAAGGCAGCAUGCCGGCUCCACACUGACGCUGAGGCACGAAAGCGUGGGUAUCGAACAGGAUUAGAUACCCCAGUAGUC
RNAcentral lists this ribosomal RNA (460 nucleotides) under uncultured bacterium. Its description in RNAcentral is "partial 16S ribosomal RNA". It matches the Rfam family "Bacterial small subunit ribosomal RNA", at positions 338 to 795 of the family's 1533-position model. The record is from RNAcentral.